RNAcentral lists this ribosomal RNA (1219 nucleotides) under Lactiplantibacillus plantarum. Its description in RNAcentral is "bacterial SSU rRNA". It matches the Rfam family "Bacterial small subunit ribosomal RNA", at positions 51 to 1206 of the family's 1533-position model. The record is from RNAcentral. Lineage: Bacteria; Bacillati; Bacillota; Bacilli; Lactobacillales; Lactobacillaceae.
CCCCAAGCAGGUCUAUCAUGCAGUCGACGACUCUGGUAUUGAUUGGUGCUUGCAUCAUGAUUUACAUUUGAGUGAGUGGCGAACUGGUGAGUAACACGUGGGAAACCUGCCCAGAAGCGGGGGAUAACACCUGGAAACAGAUGCUAAUACCGCAUAACAACUUGGACCGCAUGGUCCGAGUUUGAAAGAUGGCUUCGGCUAUCACUUUUGGAUGGUCCCGCGGCGUAUUAGCUAGAUGGUGGGGUAACGGCUCACCAUGGCAAUGAUACGUAGCCGACCUGAGAGGGUAAUCGGCCACAUUGGGACUGAGACACGGCCCAAACUCCUACGGGAGGCAGCAGUAGGGAAUCUUCCACAAUGGACGAAAGUCUGAUGGAGCAACGCCGCGUGAGUGAAGAAGGGUUUCGGCUCGUAAAACUCUGUUGUUAAAGAAGAACAUAUCUGAGAGUAACUGUUCAGGUAUUGACGGUAUUUAACCAGAAAGCCACGGCUAACUACGUGCCAGCAGCCGCGGUAAUACGUAGGUGGCAAGCGUUGUCCGGAUUUAUUGGGCGUAAAGCGAGCGCAGGCGGUUUUUUAAGUCUGAUGUGAAAGCCUUCGGCUCAACCGAAGAAGUGCAUCGGAAACUGGGAAACUUGAGUGCAGAAGAGGACAGUGGAACUCCAUGUGUAGCGGUGAAAUGCGUAGAUAUAUGGAAGAACACCAGUGGCGAAGGCGGCUGUCUGGUCUGUAACUGACGCUGAGGCUCGAAAGUAUGGGUAGCAAACAGGAUUAGAUACCCUGGUAGUCCAUACCGUAAACGAUGAAUGCUAAGUGUUGGAGGGUUUCCGCCCUUCAGUGCUGCAGCUAACGCAUUAAGCAUUCCGCCUGGGGAGUACGGCCGCAAGGCUGAAACUCAAAGGAAUUGACGGGGGCCCGCACAAGCGGUGGAGCAUGUGGUUUAAUUCGAAGCUACGCGAAGAACCUUACCAGGUCUUGACAUACUAUGCAAAUCUAAGAGAUUAGACGUUUCCCUUCGGGGACAUGGGAUACAGGUGGGUGCAUGAUUGUCGUCAGCUCGUGUCGUGAGAUGUUGGGUUAAGUCCCGCAACGAGGCGCAACCCCUUAUUUAUCAGUUUGCCAGGCAUUUAAGGUGGGCACUCUGGUGGAGACUGCCCGAUGACCAACGCAGCAGGUGGGGGAUGAACGGUUCCUAAUCCAAUUCAAUGGCCCCCCCUAG